GUCGUGAUAGCUCAGUGGUAGAGCAUCGAACGCGCAAUUCAGAGGUCGUAGGUUCGAUUCCUGCUCACGGCA
This is a non-coding RNA of Rhipicephalus microplus (southern cattle tick), 72 nucleotides long. The record is from the annotation of a RefSeq genome assembly. NCBI's taxonomy places the organism in Eukaryota, Metazoa, Arthropoda, Arachnida, Ixodida, Ixodidae.